UUAUUGUUGUGAGUGUCCAUUGUGUCUACUAGCGAGCGGAUCACCCUGUAGCAGACAUAAUAAACCCUUUGCACUUGGAUGUCCCUUACAAGGGGACAUCGCAACUCUAGCACAUUUUGUUUGUGGUUAUGUGGAAUAAAUAGAUUACAGGACAAAUUUAAAAAGAAAAUGCACGUUUUCUUAAAGUUUCCUUAUUGAAAUUGCACGAGAAAGGAAACCAAAAUAUGGUGUACAUACUUCUCUAAAAUAUCGUAUUUUUUUAAAAUAAGAAAGGUAAUGGUGUGGGCAGCGUAUCAACAUUUUAUAUCUCAAUCGGUUCAUUCGUUACCUCACAACCUUGCAUACAAGUUUGAGAAACUGUGUUUUGGACAAAAUGAGGUUAAAGUUAAACUUCUGUUGCGGUGAGGGAUUUUUUUAAUUCAAGCGCGAGUAGGGAUUUGAAUGACUUCGAAAGACAGCAGAAUUUAUUUAAAUUAAAGCAACAAAAAUCGAUUUUUUUAAACUCCUAGAGUACCCUGUCCAUUUAAAAACGUGGAAUGAUUCCAAUUAUUAAUACAGAUGAUCAAUAAAUGUCUUUCGAUCUACGUGCUAAUUGCAGAGAAAUUAGAUACGAUAAUAUUUGUCUCUCAUUUGCGUCAUUCUUAUUACAACAUUAGAAUUAUUCCAGCUUGUAAAAUGCUAAAUACUUGCAGAAGAAUAUAAAAUUUCCGUUGGGUGUGUCAAUAAAAUGUAUAAAAUAUUACGUUGAAAAUCAUUUCAUGAAAUGCAUUCAAUUAAUGGCAUAAACGUUUAUUAUUUCUAUGAAAAAGUUACUGCAUUCUAAAAGUUUCAAUGCAGUGGCCUUCUAAUCGUUUGCCUUCAAUGUGCUAAGUAUAGCACGCCUCAUGGUUGCCAAACGGGCCACUGCAGAAUCUUGAACCGGACGUUAAAGUAUUUGAAAUAGUCCAAUGCGAUACCGUACAAAAGAUAUAACUUUCGCAUCGAAAAAUGAAAAAAUAUGAGCGAAAGAAUACGUUGAUCGCCAUGUUGGUCACUAGUAACCAGCACUUCAAACUUGCAAAGCCUUCAGAACGUUCACAAGAAGUAGAGUCAAAUUUUGGAAACUUCUUAAUCAAAUUAUGAUCGUUAGAAAUACUAUCAAAUUUAUAUUUAUAACUUUUAUGGCUAAAUUAUAACUAAUUUAUAACUUAACAUAGAAUACUCCUGUUUGUUCACACUAUAGUUUAAGCAAAUAUCGAGGUCGGCCUUGAUAUAGAAAACUUGGUGACAGUGAAUAUAUUAAAACUUUAUAAGAAAUAAAUGAAACGAUGUAUGAUUGAAUGCAAUGAUGCUAUGUAGAUAGCAUUGAAACUUAGUGUUUUGCUAUAAUUUACUCUGUAAUAUUCAAAUGAAGUUAUUAACGUGAUCGAUUUGUUUUUUAACGUCCAAUUAAGCGUGUCCUAUGUUUCUUAUCAUGUAAUUGAGAUAUUUUUUUCCUGGACAAAAAGAUAGCGCAAGCGUGCUAUCAUUAAAAUCUCAUCUUAGAGACUCCAUUUAUUCCAUGGCUUACAUCGCAUGAAUUCAUCCUUAAGAAAUUAAUUAUAUCGCACACGUGCUGUCAUUUUGUCGACGAGUGUAGUUAUUCUUUUUCCAUGCUGCAGAUUCUAUUAAAGUCUUAACGAUUGCUAAUUUUUAAAACGAACUAUUUUAUCAGGUACCGCCAGCGGAGCUGGAAGCAAUCCUAAGAACCCAUCCAGACGUGGCAGAAGCAGCCGUAGUUGGUGUUCCUGACGAGAGAUCCGGCGAAGUCCCGAAGGCUUUCAUAUUGCGUAAAAAAGACUCAAAGGUGACCGAAGAGGAAAUUAAGAAUUUCAUGAAAGGAAAAGUCUCGGACUACAAGGAACUCCAAGGGGGUGUCACGUUUGUCGACAACAUACCGAAGAAUCCCAGCGGGAAGAUUCUGCGAAGACUACUUCUACAGCAGCAAUGACCUCCAUCGUUGACGAAAGAGAAACUUUAACGCGAGACAUCGAUUAACAGUUCACACAUUAUGAGAUUGGCUGUGUGCUAAGAGUGAAUAACGUUUUUCGCACACGAUUGCGCGCUGUAUUGGCAGUCGAUUGGCGUAAUAAGAAACGCGUGACUGUUAUUUAAGACACCGAAGAGAAAGUGCAAAUAUAUAUCUUCAAUUGGUAAACGGUUGAUGCGCGAUCGACCUUAUCCACGAACGUUUUCCCUGAUAUCGUAUCGUGUAGGAAUCGUUUCUGCACGGAGGAAGACAUUCGCGACUCGUUUCGAGUCGCAGUGAAAUUUGAAUUUGCAAAAUUUACUUACAACACUGUAACCACGGGCGAAACGUGUCUACGAGAACGGGUUAAUAGUCGGCGGGAUACUUUUUAAUAUUACUGGAUACAUUAUUUUUUCUAUGUCUAAUGGUGCUAUCACUGCAAUAACAAUGCAAUUAGUUUGUAAGAUUGUAUCGUUCCGUUUGGAAACGAUUUGAACGUACUGAAUGUAUCGACGUUAUACAAUUUUUAUAGGCCAUUUAUACCGUUAAGUAGCAGGUGUUUAAGGCAAUAAAAUCGUUUACAGAAGUGUUACAUUUAUUGAUCGUUGAUGAAUUAGUUGUUAGUUUCUCGAUAGCCCUUUUUUUAUUUAAAUAACGGAACGGCAUACAAAGUUAACGGUUCGAAAAUCAGCUUGCCGUACGGAUUUGCACGGAAUAUUUGAAAUUUAAAAGGUCAAGAGUAAAUAAUUAUUCCUUUUAAUAUGUUAAUUACUUUAUUUUAGAAAUGUAUAAUUACCUGUGUACAUAAAAUUGGUAAUUUGUUAGUUUCUUUGUUUGGAAAGUAUUUAAAUUAUAAAGAGAUGACUUUGUAUGAGCAAUUGUACAUGCAAUUUUUCCAAUUAAUUUAAGUUAAUAUUGUUAAAAUAUUGUACCUUACACGUCAGUGUAAGUAAAUUCUUAUUUAUCACAUAUACACAUUAAUAGACAUGAAAUAUGUUAUAAAUAAUAUGGUGCAUGUUAUUUUUAAUAAAGAAAUCUGAAUAUUUCA
Molecule: long non-coding RNA, 3035 nt
Organism: Hylaeus volcanicus
Lineage: Eukaryota; Metazoa; Arthropoda; Insecta; Hymenoptera; Colletidae
Exons: 2
Source: RefSeq, a predicted model, not a curated record